UUUGUGUUUGGUUCCCACCACGCUAAGUAGUAGUGCCGCAGGUAUUUCGUGAGGAACUUUACCUGCGCAUUACUCCUUAAUGUGGAGGCUACCACGAACUAC
This 102-nucleotide microRNA precursor is filed under the name Patiria miniata (bat star). RNAcentral's name for it is "microRNA pmi-mir-252b precursor". Its record names the gene pmi-mir-252b. The stretch from base 15 to 88 matches the Rfam family "mir-252 microRNA precursor family". The record is from miRBase by way of RNAcentral. Lineage: Eukaryota; Metazoa; Echinodermata; Asteroidea; Valvatida; Asterinidae.